ACGGGUGAGUAACGCGUAUGCAACCUACCUAUCAGAGGGGAAUAACCCGGCGAAAGUCGGACUAAUACCGCAUAAAACAGGGGCACCGCAUGGUGAUAUUUGUUAAAGAGAUUCGCUGAUAGAUGGGCAUGCGUUCCAUUAGGUAGUUGGUGAGGUAACGGCUCACCAAGCCGACGAUGGAUAGGGGAACUGAGAGGUUGGUCCCCCCACACUGGUACUGAGACACGGACCAGACUCCUACGGGAGGCAGCAGUGAGGAAUAUUGGUCAAUGGGCGGGAGCCUGAACCAGCCAAGUCGCGUGAAGGAAGAAGGAUCUAUGGUUCGUAAACUUCUUUUGCAGGGGAAUAAAGUGCAGGACGUGUCCUGUUUUGUAUGUACCCUGAGAAUAAGGAUCGGCUAACUCCGUGCCAGCAGCCGC
This 419-nucleotide ribosomal RNA is filed under the name uncultured bacterium. RNAcentral's name for it is "bacterial SSU rRNA". It matches the Rfam family "Bacterial small subunit ribosomal RNA", at positions 102 to 518 of the family's 1533-position model. The record is from RNAcentral.